Molecule: long non-coding RNA, 438 nt
Organism: Papilio xuthus (Asian swallowtail)
Lineage: Eukaryota; Metazoa; Arthropoda; Insecta; Lepidoptera; Papilionidae
Exons: 4
Source: RefSeq, a predicted model, not a curated record
CGGGCUCGGAGGGCGCCGCGGCGGAGGGCGAGGAGUGCGUGCCCGGCCGCUACCACAGUCUCAGCGCGGGCUGCGGCGCCGCCGGGGACGCCAUCGAGUUCCGCUCGCACUGCACCAGCGCAACGUACACCUGCCACGCGGCCUGGCAGGACUCCGGCCGCGGCUACCUCGUCGCCUCGCCCCUCGCGCGCGCCUCCUCUCACCCGCGCACGCUCUGCUUCGUGUACCCGCUGCCCCAGCGCAACGAGUCCCGCGGCGGCGCGCUGGCGCUCAGCGCGGUGACGCGCACCUGCGACCGGCGCGUGCAGCCCGGCCGCACCGGCGACAAGGCCUACAACCUCACCGCGAACGGCACGUGCGAGCAGAGCAGCAAGUACAACAGCGCGGCGCAGCGGCCGGCGCCCUCCGCCGCCCUCGCGCUGCUGCUGGCGGCCGCCG